UUUACCUGACCGAAUAAUUGACGGCAACAUCUGUCAAACUCACUAGCUUCAAGUAGCGACUGAGGCCCAAUCUGGACAUUGUCCUGAUUUUUUUGGUACCCUCCAUGGAGGUGGAGGAUUAUAAAAAUAAUAACGGGGCCUCGAUAGCGAUCUUUGGGGGUCUUGCAGGAGACGUGCGCGCCAAGUGAUACAUAUUUGUACGUUUUGGUACAAUAUUGCGUUCCAGAUUAAUAAACAAAUGUGAAGCUAGCUGAAUACCCACAGUACAACAGGUCACCCAAGUUCACCCAAAUCGAACCUGACCUACAUGGAUAAAAAUAUAAACCAUGGAAUUUGUUCCAGUCAUUGGCAGCAGAGAACUGGAAGGAGAGGUGGCCAAAGAAAGAAUUGGUUUUGGGGGUGACCAGAGAGAUAUACCUGCUGGAGCGCGUGCUACAGGAAAACAUGUAGCAAAUUAGGCCAUGGUGGCGCCUAGUUCUCCUGCAGAACUUUCCCAUGCCGUCUGAAGAAGAGUGGUUGAAAGAUCGAAAAAGGCGGCAAAAACAAAACGCACUACAGGAUGAUACAGAAGACGCAGCAUGUCACUUCAGCAUCCAGGUCUGCAGGAUCAGCUACUGUAUAGGGUAUUAGCUAAAGUGAUACUGAAAACAAAAUGCACGGAAGCAGAUGUUCUUAUACACCUUAGAGGCAGCAAGGUAGUGUGAACGCCAAACAUUUAAAGGCACUGUUUCCCUCCCCAGUGUAAUUGGGAUGGACAGGGAAGACUCCAUUACAGCCCUUAAAACCCUUAAAGGACUACGGUUGUAUGAUGGCCUGGAUGAAGAGGAAAAUAUUCUCAAGGAACCAUUCAUGUUACAGAGAGAUUGAGAUGUUCUAUGUGGAGGCAGUUGACAACAAGAACAUUACUGUCUUUGCCUCUUGAGGAGCAGGAGUGAAGCAAUUUUUGAGGAGUGGUCAAACCUUGUUUUUGUCUGCUGUGUAAAUUGUUUCAGUUGUUAAUUGUGUUAAGUUGUUUAGUAAAGAUGACAUUGAAGUCACCCGAGUCUCUGAUCUCUGUACUGGAGCUGGUAUAACUUAAUGUACAAAGCACAUUCAGCUUGUCAGUAUGUCUAUAUGGUAUAGUCUGUCUCCAUUCUCAUGAGGAAAGUAAAUAGCAUUAUAAAUAAGGAUAGGUAGUAAUUGUGUGUGUGUGUGUGUAUAUAUAUAUGCUCAAUGAAAGAAUAUAAGUUAUAACAUUUAUCAACACAAUUUUAACAGUACAUGACAUGCAUAACAAGUCUGUUGUUCACUGCACUUGUCUCAUAGCAUGAAGUACAAAGUGUUGCAACACAUCUGCUGGUACCACUUUAUAUAAUAUUUCUUAAGAUCUUCAAAAAUGAAAUAUGUUUGUAUUCAACGUGUGUGUUUGUAUUCAGUGUGUAACCGUCAAACCUCAGACAGAAAAAUGGCGAGCCACAUCGAGCCUGGUCCGAAUUGCACACUGCAGUCAGUGGUACUUGGCUUCCACCUGCAAGUAUGGGUAACUGCAUACGUGGGUGUGUCAUCAGAAGUGGGAGGAUCAACAGCGAUAGGCAUUACACCAACCAUGUGAAAUAAGGUUGGGAGAGCUAAGGCACUCUAUUCUUAAUAUUAUGAGAAUCAUACUGUGGCUUUUGAAUGUUAACAAAACACAACAAACUCCUAACUACAUAUGAAAAUAAAAGUAAUU
This is a long non-coding RNA of Oncorhynchus masou masou (cherry salmon), 1708 nucleotides long. RefSeq lists it as uncharacterized. The transcript has 8 exons. Lineage: Eukaryota; Metazoa; Chordata; Actinopteri; Salmoniformes; Salmonidae. The record is from RefSeq and is a predicted model, not a curated record.